This 252-nucleotide ribosomal RNA is filed under the name uncultured bacterium. Its description in RNAcentral is "partial 16S ribosomal RNA". It matches the Rfam family "Bacterial small subunit ribosomal RNA", at positions 524 to 776 of the family's 1533-position model. The record is from RNAcentral.
UACGGGAGUGGCACGCGGUGUUCGGCUUGACUGGGCGUAAAGGGUUCGUAGACUGUAAAAUAAGUUACUUGUUAAACUUUAAAGCUUAACUUUAAAUCAGCUUGUAAUACUGUUUUACUUGAGUUUUAUACAGAAGAGUAGAAUUUUAUACGUAAGGGUAAAAUCUAAAGAUAUAUAAAGGAAUGCCAGUAGCGAAGGCGACUCUUUGGUAAAAACUGACGUUGAGGAACGAAAGUAUGGGGAGCAAACAGG